RNAcentral lists this ribosomal RNA (253 nucleotides) under uncultured bacterium. Its description in RNAcentral is "partial 16S ribosomal RNA". It matches the Rfam family "Bacterial small subunit ribosomal RNA", at positions 524 to 776 of the family's 1533-position model. The record is from RNAcentral.
UACGUAGGUGGCAAGCGUUGUCCGGAAUUAUUGGGCGUAAAGCGCGCGUAGGCGGCCCGGCAAGUCGGAUGUGAAAUCCCGGGGCUCAACCCCGGGCCUGCAUCCGAUACUCCCGGGCUGGAGGCAGGUAGGGGAGAUCGGAAUUCCUGGUGUAGCGGUGAAAUGCGCAGAUAUCAGGAGGAACACCGGUGGCGAAGGCGGAUCUCUGGGCCUUGCCUGACGCUGAGGCGCGAAAGCUAGGGGAGCGAACAGG